CUUGAUGGAGCCGAUCCACAGCGGGCGCUCGGCCGACCGGGCGCGGCCGUAGGUGUCCAGGACCGCGUUCACCUC
This 75-nucleotide antisense RNA is filed under the name Streptomyces monashensis. RNAcentral's name for it is "Streptomyces sp. MUSC 1 ASpks TB sRNA". It matches the Rfam family "ASpks TB sRNA". Lineage: Bacteria; Bacillati; Actinomycetota; Actinomycetes; Kitasatosporales; Streptomycetaceae. The record is from Rfam by way of RNAcentral.